RNAcentral lists this long non-coding RNA (1353 nucleotides) under Cricetulus griseus (Chinese hamster). RNAcentral's name for it is "lncRNA (ENSCGRG00015036417.1)". Lineage: Eukaryota; Metazoa; Chordata; Mammalia; Rodentia; Cricetidae. The record is from RNAcentral.
GCUGUAGCCAUGCCUACUUAGGGGCUGGCUACAGGUGUGCCUGACCACGCUUGUGAGGGUGUGGUCAGAGUGACGUAGUGUGACUUCGUUUGCUCUUUCGCUUUCACUUUGCUUCUUGCUGUACAGACUGCUGCCACGCCGGCUGGCUAGGUUACUCUGGUCCUCAUAUAGAGCUUUCAUCUACCGUGUCUGACUACAUGCCACUGUGCUCCCUGCCUUGAGGAUAAUGAAUUAAACCUCUGAAACUGCUUGGAUCCUGGAAACAGAAGAGAUGAACACUUGGAUGGGAAGUUACGAGUGUCAUACAACAAGAUGUAAGCAGCAACCAACAGUUGCAAUAUAGGGCAAUUAACACAGAGCACCUGACUUCCGAGUUGCAACUUGGAGGAAAACUGAAGAUUCCGAAGAAAGAAAAUAGAAUAAGAGUUUGUGGGUAGCAGAAGAGAAUCUGAAAAGAAUGAAAUAGCACUGUGUUUUCUCGAGAAAUAAGGUUUAGCAUGGACAGGUUCUAAGGUGUACACAGGAAGUUCUGCUGUGUACGGGGAAUACGAGAACCCCUUAUGAAAAAAAUCAAUAAGGACUUAGACUGUAUUUGGAGCUUUACUGACAGGAGAAGGGAAACAGUAUUUCAGAACUGCUAGUUGUUAACUGAUGCCUUAGUUCUCCCACGGCAAUUCUAGAGACUAUGUAAUGAGAUUAUUUGCCUAUAUUGGCUACAGGAAAAGUUCAGCUAAGUCUGUCACCUAUGCUUCGAUUCUAUGGUAUUUCACAGCCUAGAAUAAUGACUAGGUGACUCAGAAAAUCAGUAAGGUUAGAUCCUAAUUGGCAGUCCCCAAACAGGAUUCACCAGAGAAGGAAUGAACAGCCUGAGGCUAUGUUACUGGUUUCUCAGGUUCUGCCACAUUUCAAAGUCAGAGGAAUGCCAGGCAGGGCUUAGGACAUAUCAGGGAAGCUUUGCUCUUCCAACUAAAGUCUUGCUUGUUGACAUAGGAAAGCCCAGCCUGAUUUUCCUCAGCAAGACCUGAACAUUAAGGAAUCUCCUAAGACAGGGAAAGCUGGCUCUCUUCAAUUCACUUUAUAUACCACCAAACCUCCACUGGUGUUCUUGGCCAACAGAGCAAUAUGACAGCAAAACUGUUAGUAUCAUAGAAGAAAACUGAUUUAAAGAAACUUUUUUUUUUAAAGAAAACUGAUUUAAAGACUCUUGUAGAAUUAAUUUUCAAUGGUGACUAACAGUCAGAAAGGUAAUAUAUACAUCUUCAUUUUCUUUCAGACAACCAAUAUUCCACAUGGUAGACAAUUGUUUUAGAGUUCUAUAGCUGUGAUAAAUAAAACACAUGACCAGAAGCAAUU